CCUACGUGUGGCAGCAGUGAGGAAUAUUGGUCAAUGGGCGCGAGCCUGAACCAGCCAAGUCGCGUUCGGGAAUACGGUCCUAUGGAUUGUCAACCUCUUUUGUCGGGGAGCCACAGACUCCACGCGUGGCGUUCCGAGAGUACCCGCAGAAAAACCAUCGGCUAACUCCGGGCGCGCCUCCGCGGUACUCAGCAGGAUGCGAGCGUUCUCCGUAUUUAUUGGGUUUAAAGGGUUCGCAGGCGGAAGAUCAAGUCAGCGGUAAAAUUGAGAGGCUCAACCUCUUCGAGCCGUUGAAACUGGUUUUCUUGAGUGAGUGAGAAGGAUGCGGAAUGCGUGGUGUAGCGGUGAAAUGCAUAGAUAUCACGCAGAACUCCGAUUGCGAAGGCAGCAUACCGGCGCUCAACUGACGCUCAUGCACGAAAGUGUGGGUAUCGAACAGGAUUAGAUACCCCGGUAGUC
This 459-nucleotide ribosomal RNA is filed under the name uncultured bacterium. RNAcentral describes it as "partial 16S ribosomal RNA". It matches the Rfam family "Bacterial small subunit ribosomal RNA", at positions 338 to 795 of the family's 1533-position model. The record is from RNAcentral.